CGGGUGAGUAACGCGUGGAAAACCUGCCGUAUACUGGGGGAUAACACUUAGAAAUAGGUGCUAAUACCGCAUAAGCGCACAGCUUCGCAUGAAGCGGUGUGAAAAACUCUGGUGGUAUACGAUGGUUCCGCGUCUGAUUAGCUAGUUGGUGGGGUAAUGGCCUACCAAGGCAACGAUCAGUAGCCGGCCUGAGAGGGUGAACGGCCACAUUGGGACUGAGACACGGACCAGACUCCUACGGGAGGCAGCAG
RNAcentral lists this ribosomal RNA (251 nucleotides) under uncultured bacterium. Its description in RNAcentral is "partial 16S ribosomal RNA". It matches the Rfam family "Bacterial small subunit ribosomal RNA", at positions 103 to 354 of the family's 1533-position model. The record is from RNAcentral.